GAUGAAGAACGUAGCGAAAUGCGAUAAGUAGUGUGAAUUGCAGAAUUCAGUGAAUCAUCGAAUCUUUGAACGCACAUUGCGCCCGCCAGUAUUCUGGCGGGCAUGCCUGUCCGAGCGUCAUUUCAACCCUCGGGCCCCCCUCUGCGGGCGGCCCGGCGUUGGGGCUCAGGCGCCGUCUCUGCUCGGCGCCUGUCCCCUAAAUGCAGUGGCGGCCUCGCCGCUGCCUCCUCCGCGUAGUAGCACAAACCUCGCGGCUGGAAGGCGGCGCGGCCACGCCGUAAAACCCCCCAACUUUACCAAGGUUGACCUCGGAUCAGGUAGGAAUACCCGCUGAACUUAAGCAUAUCAAUAAGCGGAGGA
This 360-nucleotide unclassified non-coding RNA is filed under the name soil metagenome. Its description in RNAcentral is "partial contains 5.8S ribosomal RNA, internal transcribed spacer 2, and large subunit ribosomal RNA". The stretch from base 1 to 120 matches the Rfam family "5.8S ribosomal RNA", at positions 35 to 154 of the family's 154-position model. The record is from RNAcentral.